This 253-nucleotide ribosomal RNA is filed under the name uncultured bacterium. RNAcentral describes it as "partial 16S ribosomal RNA". It matches the Rfam family "Bacterial small subunit ribosomal RNA", at positions 524 to 776 of the family's 1533-position model. The record is from RNAcentral.
GACGUAGGGCGCGAGCGUUGUCCGGAUUUAUUGGGCGUAAAGAGCUCGUAGGCGGCUUGUUGCGUCGACUGUGAAAACCCGGGGCUCAACUCCGGGCUUGCGGGCGAUACGGGCAGGCUAGAGUUCGGUAGGGGAGACUGGAAUUCCUGGUGUAGCGGUGAAAUGCGCAGAUAUCAGGAGGAACACCGGUGGCGAAGGCGGGUCUCUGGGCCGAUACUGACGCUGAGGAGCGAAAGCGUGGGGAGCGAACAGG